Taeniopygia guttata (zebra finch) is the source of this 64-nucleotide non-coding RNA. The record is from Rfam. NCBI's taxonomy places the organism in Eukaryota, Metazoa, Chordata, Aves, Passeriformes, Estrildidae.
AUGACUGAUUUCUUUUGGUGUUCAGAGUCAAUAAUAAUUUCUAGCACCAUUUGAAAUCGGUUAU